Molecule: ribosomal RNA, 517 nt
Filed under: uncultured bacterium
Lineage: Bacteria
Description: bacterial SSU rRNA
Rfam family: Bacterial small subunit ribosomal RNA
Source: RNAcentral
CUACGUGCCAGCAGCCGCGGUAAUACGGAAGGUCCGGGCGUUAUCCGGAUUUAUUGGGUUUAAAGGGAGCGUAGGCCGCAUGUCAAGCGUGUUGUGAAAUGCAGGUGCUCAACACCUGGAUUGCAGCGCGAACUGUCGUGCUUGAGUGUGCGCAACGUUGGCGGAAUUCGUCGUGUAGCGGUGAAAUGCUUAGAUAUGACGAGGAACCCCGAUUGCGAAGGCAGCUGACGGGAGCAUAACUGACGCUGAAGCUCGAAGGUGCGGGUAUCGAACAGGAUUAGAUACCCUGGUAGUCCGCACGGUAAACGAUGGAUGCCCGCCGUCCGCCCUUUUAUUGGGCGUGUGGCCAAGCGAAAGCAUUAAGCAUCCCACCUGGGGAGUACGCCGGCAACGGUGAAACUCAAAGGAAUUGACGGGGGCCCGCACAAGCGGAGGAACAUGUGGUUUAAUUCGAUGCAACGCGAAGAACCUUACCUACUCUUGACAUCCAUGGAAUUCUGUAGAGAUACGGGAGUGC